AAUAGAAUCAAGUCUAUCAAUAAAAGUACACUUGAAUAUCAUUUUUGAUCAUUUUCCAAUAGACCACACCACAAGAAACGAAUAGAAAGAAAUCAAUAUCCAAUCACAUCGAAAAUUGACGAAACCUAAACCUGAAAACAAUAAAAAAAUAAAUCAAAGAGAUUAUACUGUAUGACUGCUCAAAUCCGCAACAGGCAAACAAAUAUAUAUCGACACCAUCGAUACAUAAUCUGAGAAACUAAGAUCGAUCUGAAAAAAGAUUGAUCAUGAAUGAAGAACAAGAAAAAAAUAAAUAAAUAAAAGAAAGUGUGGAAAAUGUGGAGUAGACGGAGGAUAAGAAUUGAGGCCAAAAUG
Molecule: long non-coding RNA, 354 nt
Filed under: Zostera marina
Lineage: Eukaryota; Viridiplantae; Streptophyta; Magnoliopsida; Alismatales; Zosteraceae
Description: long non-coding RNA (ZMAR_LNC000607)
Source: RNAcentral